RNAcentral lists this transfer RNA (82 nucleotides) under Medicago truncatula (barrel medic). Its description in RNAcentral is "tRNA gene22101". The stretch from base 9 to 80 matches the Rfam family "tRNA". From Rfam's summary of the family: Transfer RNA (tRNA) molecules are approximately 80 nucleotides in length. Lineage: Eukaryota; Viridiplantae; Streptophyta; Magnoliopsida; Fabales; Fabaceae. The record is from RNAcentral.
CGAAUUAUGCCGACUUAGCUCAGUGGUAGAGCGCGUGGCUUUUAACCACGUGGUCGUGGGUUCGAUCCCCACAGUCGGCGAU